GUCUAAUUAGCUUAUAUGGUAAAGCAACGGUCUGAAAAGCCGUGGAACAGGGUUCGAAUCCCGAUAGACC
This 70-nucleotide transfer RNA is filed under the name Erwinia phage phiEa21-4. It matches the Rfam family "tRNA". From Rfam's summary of the family: Transfer RNA (tRNA) molecules are approximately 80 nucleotides in length. Their secondary structure includes four short double-helical elements and three loops (D, anti-codon, and T loops). Lineage: Duplodnaviria; Heunggongvirae; Uroviricota; Caudoviricetes; Andersonviridae. The record is from Rfam by way of RNAcentral. RNAcentral also lists the same sequence under 3 other names.